Molecule: ribosomal RNA, 430 nt
Filed under: uncultured Alphaproteobacteria bacterium
Lineage: Bacteria; Pseudomonadati; Pseudomonadota; Alphaproteobacteria
Description: bacterial SSU rRNA
Rfam family: Bacterial small subunit ribosomal RNA
Source: RNAcentral
AACGCGAAGAACCUUACCAGCCCUUGACAUCCCGGUCGCGGACACCAGAGAUGGAGUCUUUCAGUUCGGCUGGACCGGAGACAGGUGCUGCAUGGCUGUCGUCAGCUCGUGUCGUGAGAUGUUGGGUUAAGUCCCGCAACGAGCGCAACCCUCGCCCUUAGUUGCCAUCAUUAAGUUGGGCACUCUAAGGGGACUGCCGGUGAUAAGCCGCGAGGAAGGUGGGGAUGACGUCAAGUCCUCAUGGCCCUUACGGGCUGGGCUACACACGUGCUACAAUGGCGGUGACAGUGGGAUGCAAUGGAGUGAUCCUGCGCAAAUCUCAAAAAGCCGUCUCAGUUCGGAUUGUGCUCUGCAACUCGAGCACAUGAAGUUGGAAUCGCUAGUAAUCGCAGAUCAGCACGCUGCGGUGAAUACGUUCCCGGGCCUUGUA